UCGAAGUUGGCCCCCGAAGCUCUUCCGCCCCCCCCGGGCCUCCCGGGGAGGUUGCGGGCGGCGAGGGGUGCCUCCGGCCGCACGCCCAUUCUUGUCUACUGACCCGGUUGCCUCGGCGGGCCGCGCCUGCUGUGCUACAGCGGCCGUUCGGGGGGGACGCCUGAGGGGGACUCUUGUUUCCUAGGCCACGCCCCGGGCAGCGCUCGCCGGAGGAUUACUCUGGGAAAACACACUCUUGAAAAAAACAUACCGUCUGAGCGAGCACGCAAAUCAGUUAAAAACUUUUCACAACGGAUCUGUUGGUUUUUUUAUCGAUGAAAACCCACGAAUGCGUUA
This 336-nucleotide unclassified non-coding RNA is filed under the name Microsporum ferrugineum. RNAcentral describes it as "partial contains ITS1 and 5.8S rRNA". Lineage: Eukaryota; Fungi; Ascomycota; Eurotiomycetes; Onygenales; Arthrodermataceae. The record is from RNAcentral.